This 252-nucleotide long non-coding RNA is filed under the name Ananas comosus (pineapple). Its description in RNAcentral is "long non-coding RNA (ACOM_LNC005168)". Lineage: Eukaryota; Viridiplantae; Streptophyta; Magnoliopsida; Poales; Bromeliaceae. The record is from RNAcentral.
AUAUAUAUAAUAUUUAAUAUAAAAAAUAAAUAAAUAUUAAUAUAUAAAUAAUAAAACUUAAUAAAAUAAAUAAUAUAUUAAAUUUAAUUAAUUUAUAUUAUAUAAUAAAAUUUAAGUAUAAAUAUAUUAUCAUAAAAAUACUAUUUAUAUUAAUAUAUUUAUUUAUUUAUCUAAUAAAAUAAAAAGAGUAAUAAAGUUGUUCUGAGUUUUUCUAGGAAUAAAUUUUUAACGAAUUGUUUCAAAACAACCCAU